This 253-nucleotide ribosomal RNA is filed under the name uncultured bacterium. Its description in RNAcentral is "partial 16S ribosomal RNA". It matches the Rfam family "Bacterial small subunit ribosomal RNA", at positions 524 to 776 of the family's 1533-position model. The record is from RNAcentral.
UACAGAGGGUGCAAGCGUUGCUCGGAUUUACUGGGCGUAAAGCGUACGCAGACGGCGAGAAGGGUCGGACGUGAAAGCCCCGGGCUCAACCCGGGAAAUGCGUCCGAAACCGCCUUGCUUGAGUAUGGGAGAGGGAAGCGGAAUUCCUGGUGUAGAGGUGAAAUGCGUAGAUAUCUGGAGGAACACCGGUGGCGAAGGCGGCGUCCUGGACCAACACUGACACUGAUGAGCGAAAGCCAGGGGAGCAAACGGG